RNAcentral lists this ribosomal RNA (92 nucleotides) under Chloroflexi bacterium HGW-Chloroflexi-7. Lineage: Bacteria; Bacillati; Chloroflexota. The record is from RNAcentral.
CACCCGGCUACAUCUCGAACCCGGUCGUUAAGGACGUCAGCGCCGAUGGUACUUGGAGGGCGACUUCCUGGGAGAGUAGGUCGUUGCCAAGA